UGGGGAAUUUUGGACAAUGGGGGCAACCCUGAUCCAGCCAUGCCGCGUGCGGGAAGAAGGCCUUCGGGUUGUAAACCGCUUUUGGCCGGAAAGAAAAGCCGCCGGAUAAUACCCGGCGGUCUUGACGGUACCGGCAGAAUAAGCACCGGCUAACUACGUGCCAGCAGCCGCGGUAAUACGUAGGGUGCGAGCGUUAAUCGGAAUUACUGGGCGUAAAGCGUGCGCAGGCGGUUUGUUAAGUCCAUUGUGAAAGCCCCGGGCUCAACCUGGGAAUGGCGGUGGAAACUGGCAAGCUAGAGUGUGGCAGAGGGGGGUGGAAUUCCACGUGUAGCAGUGAAAUGCGUAGAGAUGUGGAGGAACACCGAUGGCGAAGGCAGCCCCCUGGGCUAACACUGACGCUCAGGCACGAAAGCGUGGGGAGCAAACAG
This 428-nucleotide ribosomal RNA is filed under the name uncultured bacterium. Its description in RNAcentral is "bacterial SSU rRNA". It matches the Rfam family "Bacterial small subunit ribosomal RNA", at positions 355 to 775 of the family's 1533-position model. The record is from RNAcentral.